ACAAGGUAUGCGAAACGCCGGGCAGCUACCUUGAAAUCUCCAGAAGAUCAACUGUGUGAUGAAAUCAACACCCACCAUGUCCAGAAACACCUGGAUAUGCAUAUGAAGUCCAGGGUGUAGCAUGAGUACAACAAACUCAGUAAGUAACAAUACUAAAUAAAGAACGGAAAGUAGUGACGAGCUUCACAGUUAAAGUUCAAUUACAGUGAUUUCAACAUAGGAAGGUAGGCAUGCUUUCAAGUUCGACAAUUAAGGCCAAAACAGUAAAUGCAUGUCAAGUUCAACUGAAACAGAAGAUAAUAUCUCUCUGAAAUUUCAAGAUAGUGAUAUAUGCCAGUUGAAGUGCAAAAAAAUGAAGUCAAAUGCAUCCUCACAGAGCAGCAGACACUCAGUCCUCCCAUUCACUUCAACCUCACAAUCACUCAUUCCUCACAGUCACUCAUUUCACUCAUUCGCUCAGCACUCCGCACUCACACUCAGUAGGUACCUACGCUCAUAGAGGGUGUGUACAUACUCCGGAGGGGCUCCUUCAGCCCAAGCACUAUAACAAGCCAAUCAUGGCAUAUAUCAAUGAAACAUUCUGCGGCGUGCAGCCCGAUCCUAUAAAUAUCCUUACAAUCAGGCCCCUGGCCUCACUCAGUCAUCAACCUCUCCAGUCUCUCGGGAUCUCAUGAAUUAUGAUAAGCAGUCCAAACAUCAAUAAUAUAAUGCAUCAAUAAUGAACAAUAGAGACUGAGAUGUAAUAUGCAAGUAAAACUGUGACUGAGUACAAAUCAUCAACUUAGCAGAUAAUUCAACAUAUACACGACCUCUGUGGGUCCCUACAGUGCCAACACAUAGUCUAAACAUGAUUUCUAACAUGAUUUGUGGUUCAAUUUCUCUAAUACAUGGAGAAUGUAUGGGUAACAAUCGAUAAUUCAACUAUACAGUUCCAUGGAAUUUACCAAUCAUAAUCCCCACGGUGCAUGCCCACACGCCUACACGCCCAUUACCUAGCGUGUGCGUCACCUUAAAACCAAGCACAUGACACGCAAAUAGGAGGUUUUGUACCUGCAAAACCAAAUUUAGAACUGUUACUUACCUCAAUCCGAGCAAAACUCUACUCCAACACACUCUUGCCUCACGAAAUGGCCUCUGAAUGCCUCGAAUCUGGCCAUAAAUAAUUCGAUAUAAUCAUUACGGGCUAAAGGAAUCAAUUCCACAAGAAAAUACUAAAUUAUUAAUCAAAAGUCAAAACUCUACUCAAAAGCCGGCCCCCAGGCCCACGUCUCGAAAUUCAAUAAAAGUCACAAAACCCGAAAGACCAUUCAAUCACGAGUCUAACCAUACAAAAUUUAUCAAAAUCCGACACCAAAUCGUCACCCAAAUCCCCAAAUCAAACUCUCCAAAUCCCUAGACUCAAACUCUCAAUUUACACCUUAAUAACACACCAACAAGGUGGGAAAAUCAAUGGGGAAGCAAACUUAAUGAUCAAAAAAUGAGCAUAAGGGACUUACCUCAAGAAUCUUCUCGAAAUCCCUCUCAAGAAUCGCCAAUAUCCGAGCUCAAAAAGUUUAAAAUAAAGCAAAAUCGCGAACCCUUGUAUUUAAGUGUUCUGCCAGCACUUCCGCUUCUGUGGAAAAUUAACCGCUUCUGCAGCGUCGCAGAAGCGACCUCUCACCCUCAUUUGAAGCUCCUUUUGCUCCUGCGAUCCCUUACUUCACUUCUGCGGACUCGCUUCUACGAGCAUCCAAGCUGCUUUUGCGAACCAAGCUCACCUACCAAAUUUCGCUUCUGCGGUCCCCUUGAUGCAUCUGCGGUCACGCAGGUGCGGCAAAUCCCUCGCACCUCCAAACUUGCAUUUGCGUAAGGCAGCCAACACCUGCAAGCUCGUACCUGCGGUCAAAGCUCUGCAGGUGUGAUUACACCAGCAGGGUCUAACUUCAGCAAUCUCUCAUCCGAAAUCGACCCGAGGCCCCUGGGACCUCAACCAAAUAUACCAACAAGUCCUAAAAUCUCAUACGAACUUAGUCAAACCCUAAAAUCACAUUAAACAACUUCAAAAACACGAAUCGCACCCCAAUUUAAGCCUAUUGAAACUAAGGAAUUCCAACCUCUACAAACGACGCCAAAACCUACCAACCCACGUCCGAUUGACCCCAUAUAUUGCACACAAGUCACAAAUGACAUUGCGGACCUACUCCGACUUCCAGAAUCAGAAUUUGACCCUACUAUCAAAAAGUCCACUCCCGGUCAAACUUUCAAAAAAUUCUACUUUCACCAUUUCAAGCAUAAUUUCACUACGGACCUCUAAAUCACAAUUCGAACACGCUUAUAAGUCCAAAAUUACCCAACGAAGCUAAUGGGACCAUCAAAACUCCAUUCCGGAGUCGUUUACUCAUAGGUCAACAUCCCGUCAACCAUUUCAACUUAAGCUUCCAACCAUGAAACUGUCUCAUUUCCUUCCAAAACUCCAUCGGACCCGAACCGACUACCCCAGCAAGUCAUAUAAUAGCUAUAAAGUACAAAAUGAGCAAUAAAUGGGGGAACGGGGCUACAACUCUCAAAAUGACCGGCCGUGUCGUUACAAGUAUGUGAAUACCACAAUACAAAACUUAGGUAGAUAAAAGCUUCCCAAUGACAAUGACAAAGUAGAAAGCAACAAUAACCUGCAUACAGAAGAGGCUCAACACAACAUAUAUACAUAAACUAAGGCCGACGAGUCUAUAACGAGUAUAUAAACAACUGGCAAGGGGCGACAAGGAUGCAUAAAACAUAUAUACAACAACCUCUAAUUUGCAAGACUCUACGAGUACUAAUAUGUGUUGUCAAGUCGGGAUAGGGCACGUACAUACCCAAAAUAGUUGUAUGCAUAUGGAGUAGUGCCUACCGACUCUGUACAUCAACUUCGGAGAAAAAGAGUGUGACAAACAAUAGCUGGAAACACGUACCCUACUGAGGAGGUAUAUCGGUCUGUCUAUCUGUACCUGCGGGCAUGAACACAGCGCCCAGAAGGGAUGUUAGUACGAAAGAUGUACUAACUAUGUAAGGCAGGUAAAUAUAAUAAAUAAGAGAUGUAAAACCAAAGGAAAAGCUAUUGAAUCAACUUGUAACUCAGAAAAGGCCGUUGAGGGCAUACAACUAAUAUAACCAAGAAUAUAUAUGCAUGUAAGUAAAACCAGGCCGCUCUAUAGGGCCAUAUAGUAUCAUAUCAAGUCCCUCUGUGGGGUAAGCUCAUAAUAAACUACCAAGUCAUAUAAGACGUGGUAAUAUCUGUGCGGUAAGAAAAUAGAUAACAUAAUGCAUGAGACAAUGGAUUAAUAAUUAGAGUCGUUCAGAGUGACGUAAGGUCGGUAGACUCCGAAUGCAUUAUGAUACUAAUGUGAUCAACACAAGACUUGGCGGAUACAAGAAUAUACAAUCAUAUACUUUCCAUAAGCCUUUCAUGAGCUUUGGAAUAAUUCAUGGCAUCAAGAUGGAAAAUAUAUCAACUUGCUCAACGUGAAAUGAAGGAAAGGGCAUGAACAUAUUUAGAACUUCGAAUAAAGUACCUUUUUUUAAGGAUAUUUGUUUUCACGCACGUAUAGUUGGGAUCAUGCCAGAAAAGACAGAAGAUGAAGAAGCCUUAACAUACAUUUAUGAUGCUUCGCUUGCUGUAACGACUCGACUGGUCGUUUUGAGUAUUUGAGCCCCAUUUCCCCUUUUGAAGCUUUUCGUAUAUAUAUAUUUGUGGUUUUAUGACUUGCGGUGAUGGUUGGUUUAGUUUCGGGGAGGUUUUGGAUUGAUUUGGAACAACUGAUUUUUAGUUUGGAAGCUUAAGUUGGAAAUAUUGGUCGAGGUUUGACUUUUAUGAAAAUGACUACGGAACAAUAUUUUGACAUAUCCAAUAGGUUUUUAUGGUAAUUUCAAACUUAGGCGUAUGCUCAAAUUGAAUUCGGAGGUUUCGAGGUUGAAUUGGCUCUUUUUGCCGAAAGUUGGCAAUUUGGAAGAUUAGAAAUUUUUUUAAGUUCGACCAUAGGUUAACUUUAUGGCUAUCGGGUUUGGAUAAUAGUUUCGAGACUUAUAAUAGGUUCAUUUUUUUUAUUUUCAAUUUGUGUGCAAACUUUGGUGUCAUUCCGAGUUGGUUUGGUAGGAAUUAGACGCUUGGUUGUGAUUUUAGCGAUUCUUGAGUUUCAUUGUGAAUUCUAUGUGUUUUGGUAUCCGAUUCAUGGUUCUAGAUGUUAUAUUGGAGCUUUGAGAUCGCGAGCGAGUUUGUAUAAAAUUUCUAGAGUUGUGUGGGUGUUUCGUAUGGAGCCCCGGGGGCUCGAGUAAGUUUCAGACGUGUUUCAGAUCAUUUGAGUGAGUUUCGGUUUUGCUAGUGCUUGGCUGGUGCUGCAGGUCUCACGAAUGCUAGCACCAGGUUGCAUUUGCAGUGACCGCAUAUGUGAGGGACUUAUUGCAAUUACAAAGGAGGGCUUAGGGUUUCAGGCUUUGCAAAUGCGAAGCCAGCCUCGCAUUUGCGAUGCGGAAACUAGGCUGAGGCAUGCCACAUUUUCGAUACCCAUCUCGCAUUUGCGACGCCUGCAAGGUUUGCAUUUGCAGACAUAAUGUCACAUUUUCGACUUCAGUGGAUCUUGGAAGGCUUCACUUUUGCGAGCAAAGGGCAUAUUUGCAAUAGUCGCAUUUGCGAACCCAAGGUCACAAAUGCGACUUCUGUAAAUAAAAGUUGGGAUUCCGGGACUUGGUCUCAUUUUAUCACAUUUUUUAGCUCUAGACUCGGUGGGAGGAAGUUUUAGGAGGGGAUUUUCAUACCAAGCUGUUGGGUAAGUAUUUUUCAUCCAAUUUAAAUAAUAUAACUUGAUUAUCUAUGUAUAUUAACAUCAAAUCCAUGAGAUUUUGGGGAUUUUUGACUAUAUUUAGGAAAAUAAAAAUUUGAGAUUUGAGAGUCGAAUUGGAUUCGGAUUUGAAAAUCAAACACAUAUAUAGACUCGUGGGGUUACGGUUAAUCAAGAUCUAUCCCUCGACUCGGGUUUUGAUCGGGUGGGCCCGGGGUUGACUUUUGUUGACUUUUAGGAAAUUGUGUAAAGAUCUUAACUUUAUUAAUCGAAAUUAGUUUCUCUUGUAUUGUUUGAUAUUAAGUUAUUUUUGGCUAGAUUUGAGCCGAGCGGAGGUGAAUUUUAAAGAAAAAGUAUUUUUAGAGUACUGAAUUGGCCUAAUUGAGGUAAGUAUCUUGUCUAUCUUUGUGUGAGGGAAUUACCCCCCUUAGUAUUUGGUUUAAUUUGCAUUAUUUGGGCUAUGUGAAAUAACGUGUACAUAAGGGGACAAAUGUGUACAUGGGCGUAUGUGUGGUAAUAGAUCGGAUUAGACCUUAGGCGAUUAAAAUGCCUUGAAUUGGGGUUGUUUGUUAUGUGAAACAUGUUUUAUCAUUAUUCACUCCCAGCACCCUUAUGUUAUUGUUAUGAUUCUUAUACACAUUGUUGUUGAGCCGUGGGAUAUAUCUUGUUGUAACUUUGUGAUUGUUGUUGUGGUACAUGUGUAUGUGUUGUGCGAGUUGAUUUGUUAUUAUGUGCAGUAUAAGGGUCGCGAGAUGCGCAUCCAGCAACAUAAGGGUGGUGCUUAUUAAUGCGUAUGCGACGAGGUAAGGGGGCUUAUGCACGUGUUGUAAAUAAGGGGAAUAAUUUAAUGUGAUGCACAUGCGGUGAUAUAAGGGGUCUUAUGCGCAUGUAGCUAUAUAAAGGGAAAUAUUUUGUUGUGAAGUUCACAUGGCGUCAUAAGGGUGGCUUGUUGAUGAUGUUGUGUGGUGUUUCGGGGUGACCCUUGAUGUUACUCAUGUAUUGGAAUGGGUUGAUAUUUUGAAAUAUCCUUGUUUUCCUUAAAUGGUGUCACUUUGCGUUUUCAUGAGUUAUUGGUUGAAUUGCCCUGUUAUCAUAUGUCCGCUUUUGGUUGAUAUUUAUUCUAUGAUAUUUCCAUUGUCAAUUUUGUAUUGAUAUCUUGCACAGGAUCAUUUGACUAGUGAGUGUCUUGACUUGAACCUCGUAACUACUCCACCGAGGUUAGUCAUGAUACUUACUAGGUACCGAUUGUGGUAUACACAUACUACGCUUCUGCAUAUUGUUUGUGCAGAUCUAGGUACCAUAUAUCGUGCUGGUCGUUAGUAAGUUAAUCCCAAGCUUCUGGAGACUUCAUGGUAUACUUGCUGUUUAACUCGCAGGCCUCGAAGUUACCAUCUUGUUUCAUUUUUGCUACUAUUUAUGGUAUCCCAAAUAGUGAUGUAUUUUUGAGACUUCUUGUAUACUCUAUGUAGAGCAUAUGACUCAGUAUUACCGGAUUUUGGGAUGAUGGCUAUUGUAUCUUUGCUUUGGCUACAUUAGGGAUUUUCAUCGCUUUUGCUUACAUUUCUGAGUUAUUAUAUUUUGUUCAAUAUUUUCAUGUGAUAUGAUUACCUAGUCUUAGAUACUAGGUUUCAUUACGACCCUUACGUGGAUUUUGGGCCGUGGCACUUGCUUGCCACACGCUCGUUGUGCUUCAAUCUCGACCUAUAAUAAUAGAAUAAUGAUUCUAUCACAAUUAUCCAAUCGUAAUUUAAUGUAUCCAAGUGACGGGUAAUUUCUACGAUAAUUCAGGCAGUAGUUCCCCUAUAUUUCUUACAUUUUCCAGAUCCAUAGUGAUCAUAAUAUCAAAAAUCCAUCCUAAAUCAAGUUCAUAUACAUCAAUUUUCAACCAACAAUCCAUUACAUCGAAUGGAAACCUCGGAUUAUAGUCCCAUAAGGUUAUUCUUUUAUUUUUUUGGCUCAUUAUCGACAACAAUUUGAAGAUAAUCAUAUUCCCAAUGUCACUCUACAUCUACAAUGCCUAUGAAACCUCUUUUUAACACAAUUAUCAAGCUACAAUGGAAAUUAUCAAAACCUAGUCAUAAUUUCAAGACUCCCAACCUUAUGCUCACAUGCAAGCCAAUUUUACCCAAUUGUAUGUAUAAGGGAUGAGAUCAUACGUCAUUUGCCUCAAACAAUCCUCAGUCCUAGCUGGGUUUAGUUUAUCUCCAUCUUAAUUCCAAGAAUAAGAAGGCGACGAUCCCGUAACGUCCGUGAAUCUUCCGAGACCUCAACUUGUGUAGAUGUAACGCCCCAAAAACUUUUAAAGUACUAAAGUGGUAAGCCCGGUAAAUUUUGCAAAGAAAAUAAUAUUUCAUGGUGUCGGACUAUGCACCGAAAAGUAAGAAAAAUAUUUGGCGGAAAAUUGCAUUUCUGUGAUCUAUUAUGCAACCGCAGAAUCACUCUGUGAACCGCAUAAUGGCCGCAGAGUGAGGCAGUUAAUUGGACCAAUUAGAAGCAAUUAUGCGGUCGACUAUGCGACAGCAUAACUGUUAUGCGUUGCAUUAUGCGACCGCAUAACGGUUAUGCGGACCGCAUAGUGACCGCAUAUACAUGCAGUUCUUUUGGCUAUUUUGUAACCAACUAUGCGACCGAUAUGCGGUCCGCAUAUCGAUUAUACGAUCGCAUACCUUGUUCCGGAGCUCCAUUUUUGGGUUUUUAAAAUCCAGCCAUAUUUCGUUAAAUACACUCUUUGGAUCAUUUUUGAGCUAUUAUCUGACAUUUUAGAAUGAGAGAGGGUGCCCUAAAGUGAGAAGGUGAUUCUUCAAAAAUUGUUCUUCAAUUCUUGCUCAAGAUUUGGAAGAUUAAGAAGGGAAACUCACUAGGUCUUCAUCCUAUGGUAAGAUUCUACACCCUAACCCUCAAUUUCGAAUUUUGUGCGGAAAUGGAUAAUAAGCAAGAUAAUUUCUGGGCAAGAGGGUUAGUUAUUUUAAAUGCAUGUGUUAUCAAAGGGUGUAGAAAGAUUGUUGAGCUAAAAAUGGUAAAGGUUGGAUUGUGAGAUGAUGGAAUCCUCCAUAAAAGGACCUUGAAGCUUAAUGCACACCUAGUGUUUGGUAAAAUGCUCAAAUGAGCUAGAACCAUAAUCAUCUUCCUAAUUGUUGUUCAAUUUGUUAUAUUUCUAAAAUAGAUUGAAGUUGCUAAGAAUUGCGGAACGUUUUAGAGUUUAAGGAAGCUCAAUUGAGGUAUGUUGCUAAACUCUUCUUUAAGNNNNNNNNNNNNNNNNNNNNNNNNNNNNNNNNNNNNNNNNNNNNNNNNNNNNNNNNNNNNNNNNNNNNNNNNNNNNNNNNNNNNNNNNNNNNNNNNNNNNNNNNNNNNNNNNNNNNNNNNNNNNNNNNNNNNNNNNNNNNNNNNNNNNNNNNNNNNNNNNNNNNNNNNNNNNNNNNNNNNNNNNNNNNNNNNNNNNNNNNNNNNNNNNNNNNNNNNNNNNNNNNNNNNNNNNNNNNNNNNNNNNNNNNNNNNNNNNNNNNNNNNNNNNNNNNNNNNNNNNNNNNNNNNNNNNNNNNNNNNNNNNNNNNNNNNNNNNNNNNNNNNNNNNNNNNNNNNNNNNNNNNNNNNNNNNNNNNNNNNNNNNNNNNNNNNNNNNNNNNNNNNNNNNNNNNNNNNNNNNNNNNNNNNNNNNNNNNNNNNNNNNNNNNNNNNNNNNNNNNNNNNNNNNNNNNNNNNNNNNNNNNNNNNNNNNNNNNNNNNNNNNNNNNNNNNNNNNNNNNNNNNNNNNNNNNNNNNNNNNNNNNNNNNNNNNNNNNNNNNNNNNNNNNNNNNNNNNNNNNNNNNNNNNNNNNNNNNNNNNNNNNNNNNNNNNNNNNNNCCGCUUUGUGUGAAGAUGGUUAUAGAGGAUCUCAUCUUAAAUCCUAUAAAUGUUGUUGAUAGCUUUUAAUAAGCUUUCUAUGGUUGAGACGGUUAUCUAUAUUAUUGCUAUUGCCGCACUGGUUCUGAUAAUUAUCUUUGUAUUUCUAAAUUCUUAAAUUGGUGUUUAGUUUUCAUACUAGUACUAUUCGACGGUACUAACGUCCCUUUUGCCGGGGGCACUGCAUCUUUAAAUAGAUGCAGGUGAUUCCAAAGCAGGAGACAUUGAUCAGUGAUAGCAGUACACCUUCUUCCCAGCUGACUUGGUGAGCCCCACUUCAUCCCGGGGUCAUGUAUCUUUUGUUCUUUAUGUAUUAUGGUUGAGGUAUAGCCGGGGCCUUGUUGCCGGCAUUAUCAUUGUACUCUUCUUUAUCUAUAGAGGCUCCGUAGACAUAGUGUGGGUUGUGUAUUGGUGUUGGGAAAGACAAAUUAUGCUAUGUUGUGGUUGUAUUACUUGUCCAUUUGAGACUUUAAAAAUGGUGAAACUUAUGAUAAGAAAUUGGUAAUUGCAGACAUGACCACUUUAUUGCGUAAUUAAGGAAAACAUAUAUUCUCUUUAUUCAUGAAUGAGUUUGGGUAGGAGGAAUCUAAUAGGCUUGCUCGGUCGGGUUCACUCGGUUGAGCGCCGGUCACGCUCCUCGGUUUUGGGGCGUGACAGCAGAGUCCCUUGGAUUUGAUAUAUGUUGGUGUAUACAUCUUAGAGAGAGACAAGUUUUAUAGAGAAGGAGGAUCCCUUUUGGGGGUGAGAUAGAAUGGAAAAUAUUCGGUCUAGCACCUGUAUAUACUAAACCCACCACCUCAAUAUGGGCCGUAUAUUUGUAUGGACAAUAACUAGCACAAUACUUCUAUGAUUUGCGAACUAUCUAUUGCAUUAGAAAGAAGACUCUCUGAACUUGAAUUUAGAAACAUUAUGCAUCCCACGAUUCCUUAUAUACUAGAAGAUAUAACUCUACCAAGUUGGUCCAAAAGUCAUGUUUGAAAUUCGGCCUGCCCUUCCCCGAGUCUCGACGAACUUAAUUUUCUUUUAAUUCGUUUGACUCCGAACUCAUACGAAACUUUCGUAACACCUAUUUAAACCUAUUGUCAUCCAAAUAUUUGAUCUUAGACUCACUAGGCUUUAUGUUUCUUCACUUAUGACACAUACGAGCGCGAACAUAUGGGUUGUAACAUCUUUCCCCCCUAAACAUUUUGGUAGAGUUUUCUCUAUAAAUAGGACUAUCCAAACUUGUGAAACAGCCAAAACACACGUUUAAUGCCAAACAGGGUGAUUGAAUGACAUAACAACAUCAUAUUGGCCCCACACGACCGUCUAUUUAUGCGAUUAUCAAAAAGGUUUAGUCAUAACUCACCUCAACUGUCAUAUGCUAAAAUCUAGGUUGCAUCUGCCAUUUUUGUCUCAACAAUAUCGCCUGAAGGCUGAAACGAAUAAGGGUACCUGGACUUCAUAUCCUCCUCGACCUCCCAUGUCAUUUUUUCGACGUUAUUAUUCCUGCAAAGUACCUUAACUGAAGCUACUUCUUUGGUCUACAACUAACGGACUUGCCGAUCUAGGUUAGCAACAGGGACUUUCUCAUAUGAUAGGUCUUCUUUGACUUGAACAUCCUCAAUGGGGGUGAUGUAGGAGGGAUCACCCAAGAACUUAGGAUGCAUAGAUACAUGAAAUAUUGGAUGAACUACAUUUAAAACAUGUGGUAACUCAAGUUUGUAAGCCACUUGGACGAUUCUCUGAAUAAUUUGAUACGGUCCAAUGUACAUUUGGAUAUGUUUUCCUUUCUUGCCAAACCUCAUCACGCCUUUCAUAAGAGACACCUUCAGGAAUACCCAAUCUCCCACAUCAAACUCUAUGUCUUAGUGUCGGUUAUCCGAGUAGGACUUUUGUCGACUCUGGGUAGUCAACAAUUACCCUUGAAUCAACUUUACCUUAUCUAUGGCUUGUUACACCAAAUUAGUCCCCAAUAACUGUGUUUCGCCCACAUAAAACUAACCGAUAGGAGACCUGCACUUCCGCUCAUAUAGGGCUUCAUAUGGUUCCAUCUUGAUAAUGAAAUGGUAACUGUUAUUAUAGGCAAACUCAAAGAACACCAGAUGGUCUUCCUAACUUCCUUUGAAGUCUAAAACAUAGGCCGCCGCAAUAUAUCCUCGAGCGUCUAAAUAGUGUGCUCAGCCCCUGUGGAUGGAAACCUAUGCUAAGGCUAAUCUAAGUACCUAAACUUUUCCAGAAGGACCUCCAGAAGUUAGCUGUAAAUUGGGCAUUUUUGUCAGAUAUAAUAGAAACCAGAACUCCAUGAAGUUUGAAUACCUCUCUGAUAUACAAUCUAGCAUAAUCCUCAUCUGAGUAGGUAGUUCUGAUAUGUAGGAAAUGAAUUGACUUUGUAAGUUUAUUCACAAUAACCCAAAUGGAAUCAAACUUCCGACGAGAACUAGGUAAUCCUGUAAUAGAAUCGAUGUUGAUGGUUUCCCAUUUCCAGGUCGGAAUCUAAAUAUUCUGAAGCAGUCCUCCAAGUUAACCAUAACUCACCUCAACUGUCAUCUCCUAAAAUCUGGGCUGCUCCUGCCAUAUUUUUCUCAACAAUGUCACUUGAAGGCUGAAACAAAUAAGGUAUCUGGACUUCAUAUCCUCCUCGACCUCCCAUGUCAUUUCUUCCAUGUUAUUAUUCCUCCAAAGUACCUUAACUGAAGCUACUUCUUUGGUCUACAACUUAUGGACUUGGCGAUCUACGAUAGCAAUAGGGACUUCCUCAUAUGAUAGGUGUUCUGUGACCUGAACAUCCUCAAUGGGGGUGAUGAUGGAGGGAUCACCCAAGCACUUACGAAGCAUAGAUAUAUGAAAUGCUGGAUGAACUACUUCUAAAUCAUGUGGUAACUCAAGUUUGUAAGCCACUUGGCCGAUUCUAAAAAUUAUUUGGCACGGUCCGACAUACCUAGGGAUAAGCUUGCCUUUCUUGCCAAACCUUAUAACACCCUUCAUAGGCAACACCUUCAGGAACACCCAAUCUCCCACAUCAAACUCUUAAGUCUCGAUGUCGGUUAUCCGAGUAGGAUUUUUGUAGACUCUUGGCAGUCAACAAUUACUCCUGAAUCAAUUUCACCUUCUCUACGGCUUGUUGCACCAAAUCUGGCCCCAAUAACUUUAUUUUUCCAAUAUCGAACCAACCGAUAGGAGACCUACACUUCCCCUCAUACAAGGCUUCAUAUGGUGCCAUCUUGAUACUGGAAUGGUUUAUAAGCAAACUCAGCAGAUGGUCUUCCUAACAUUCUUUGAAAUCUAAAACAUAGGCCCGAAACAUAUCUUCGAGCGUCUAAAUAGUGCGCCCGGCCCCCCUAUUUGUCUGCAGAUGGAAAGUUGUGCUAAGGCUAAUAUGAGUACCUAAACCUUUCUGGAAAGACCUCCAUAAGUUAGCUAUAAAUUGGGCAUUUUUGUCAAAUAUAAUAGAAACUGGAAGUCCAUGAAGUCAAACUAUCUCUCUAAUAUAUAAUCUAGCAUAAUCCUCAGCUGAGUAGGUAAUUUUGACAUGUAGGAAAUGAGUUGACUUUGUAAGUUUAUUCACAAUAACCAAAAUGGAAUCGAACUUCCGACGAGAACUAGGUAAUCCUGUAAUAAAAUCCAUGUUGAUGAUUUCCCAUUUCCAGGUUGGAAUCUCAAUAUUCUGAAGCAAUCCUCCAUGUUAACCAUAACUCACCUCAAUUGUCAUCUACUGAAAUCUGGGCUACACCUGCCAUAUUUGUCUCAACAAUAUCACUUGAAGGCUGCAACAAAUAAGGGUAUCUGGACUUCGUAUCCUCCUCGAGCUCCCAUGUCAUUUCUUCCAUGUUAUUAAUCCUCCAAAGUACCAUAACUGAAGCUAUUUCUUUGGUCUACAACUUACAGACUUGGCGAUCUAGGAUAGCAACAGGGACAUUCUCAUAUGAUAGGUCUUCUGUGACCCGAACAUUCUCAAAGGGGGUGAUGCGGGAGGGAUCACCCAAGCACUUACGAAGCAUAGAUACGUGAAAUACUAGCUGAACUACUUCUAACUCAUGUGGUAACUCAAGUUUAUAAGCCACUUGGCUGAUUCUCAGAAUAAUUUGAUACGGUCCAUCAUACCUGGGGCUAAGCUUGCCUUUCUAGCCAAACCUCAUGAUGCCUUUCAUAGGCGACACCUUAAGGAAUACCCAAUCUCCCACAUCAAACCCUUAAGUCUCGAUGUCGGUUAUCCUAGUAGGAAUUUUGUUGACUUGGGUAGUCAACAAUUGCUCCUGAAUUAAUUUCACCUUCUCCACGGCUUGUUUCACCAAAUCAUGCCCAAUUACAUUGUUUCGCCAACAUCAAACUAACCGAUAGGAGACCUACACUUCUGCCCAUACAGGGAGUCAUAUGGUGCCAUCUUGAUACUGCAAUGGUAACUAUUAUUAUAGGCAAACAAAAACACAGACCCACAACAUAUCCUCGAGCGUAUAAAUAAUGCGCUCGGCCUACCUGUUUGUCUGUAGAUGGAAAGUUGUGCUAAGGCUAAUAUGAGUAACCAAACCUUUUUGGAAGGACCUCCAGAAGUUAGCUGUAAACUAGGCACCUCUGUCAGAUAUAAUAAAAACCAGAACUCUAUGAAGUCAGACUAUCUCUCUAAUAUAUAAUCUAGCAUAAUACUCAGCUGAGUAGGUAGUUCUGACAGGUAGGAAUGAGCUGAAUUUGUAAGUUUAUUCACAAUAACCAAAAUUGAAUCUAACUUUCGACGAGAACUAGGUAAUCCUGUAAUAAAAUCCAUGUUAAUGGUUUCCCAUUUCCAGUUCAGAAUCUCAAUAUUCUGAAGCAAUCCUUCAGGUUAACCAUAACUCACCUCAAUUGUCAUAUGCUAAAAUCUGGGCUACACCUACCAUAUUUGUCACAACAAUAUCACUUGAAGGCUGAAACAAAUAAGGGUAUAUGGACAUCAUAUCCUCCUCGACCUCCUAUGUCAUUUCUUCCACAUUAUUAUUCCUCUAAAGUACCUUAAUUGAAGCUACUUCUUUGGUAUACAACUUACAGACUUGGCGAUCUAGGAUAGCAACAUGGACUUCUUCAUAUGAUAGGUCUUGUGUGACCCGAACAUCCUCAAAGGGGGUGAUACGGGAGGGAUCAUCCAAGCACUUACGGAGUAUAGAUACAUAAAAUACUGGAUGAACUACUUCUAACUCAUGUGGUAACUCAAGUUUGUAAGACACUUGGCUUAUUCUCAGAAUAAUUUGAUACGGUCCGUCAUACCUGGGGCUAAGCUCGCCUUUCUUGCCAAACCUCAUUAUGCCUUUCAAAGGAGAAACCUUCGGGAACACCCAAUCUCCCACAACAAACUCUAAGUCUCGAUGCCAGUUAUCCGAGUAAGAUUUUUCUUGACUUUGGGCAGUCAACAAUUGCUCCUAAAUCAAUUUCACCUUCUCUAUGGGUUGUUUUAUUAAAUAAUUAAAAAAUAAAAUUGUUUCGCCAACACCGAACUAACCGACAGGAGACCUGCAAUUCUGCCCAUACAGGGCGUCACAUGGUGCCAUCUUGAUACUAGAAUGGUAACUGUUAUUAUAGGAAAACUAAAAGAAUGGCAGAUGGUCUUCCUAACUUCCAUUAAAGUCUAAAACACAGGCCCACAAUAUAUCCUCAAGUGUCUAAAUAGUGCUCCCGGCCCUACCCGUUUGUCUGCAGUUGGAAAGUUGUGCUAAGGCUAAUCUGUGUACCCAAACCUUUUUGGAAUGACCUCCAGAAGUUAGCUAUAAACUAGGCACCUCUGUCAGAUAUAAUAAAAACUAGAACUCUAUGAAGUCAGACUAUCUCUCUAAUAUAUAAUCUAGCAUAAUGCUAAGCUGAGUAGGUAGUUCUGACAGGUAGGAAAUGAGCUGACUUCGUAAGUCUAUCCACAAUAACCCAAAUGGAAUCGAACAUCCGACAAGAACUAGGUAAUCCUAUAAUAAAAUCCACGUUGAUGGUUUCCCAUUUCCAUGUCGAAAUCUCAAUAUUCUAAAGAAAUCCUCCGGGUUUUUGAUGCUCAACCUUAACUUGCAGACAAUUUGGACACUGAGCAACGAAUUCUGCAUUAUUCUUCUUCAUAUCGUUCCACCAAUAUACUUACCGAAUGUCAUGAUACAUCUUAGUAGAGCCAGGAUGAAAAUAAUACACGGGCUGAUAAAUUUACGCCAUAAUUUGUCCUUGAAGUCCUCCAACAUCGAGCACGCACAAUCGACCCUUAUAUUUAAGAACCCCAUCAUUUGAUAGCUCGAACAACUGCUUCUUCUGAAAGGGGAUUCCUUCUCUAAUUCUGAUUAAUUUUUUAUCAUCGAAUUGCUGCGCCUUUACUUCGGCAAUUAAAGACGAUUCAAUGGCAUUUUGGAUAAUAGCGCCCGCAUCACCUGCAUCAAGCAGUCGCACACUCAAACCAGCUAGUCUAUACAAAUCUUUAGUCAUCUCUAACUUGUCAACUCCCACAUGCCUAAAGCUGCCAAUAGACUUACGACUUAAUACAUCGGCUACAACAUUCGCCUAGCUGGGAUAGUAUACGAUAUCAACAUCAUAGUCUUUCAUCAACUCAAGCCAUCUCCGUUUUCUCAAAUUCAAUUCUUUCUGCCUGAAAAAAUAUUGUAUGCUUUUAUGAUAUGUAAACAAAUCAACAUAAACUCCAUAUAAAUAGUGGCACCAUAUCUUCAAAGGAAAUAUAACAGCCGCUAACUCGAUAUUAUGAGUCGGGUAAUUCUUCUUGUGCUUCCUCAGUUGUCUUGAAGCAUACACAAUAACUUUGCCAUGCUGCAUCAAAACAAAACCCAAUCCAACUCUAGACGCAUCAUAAUAUACAACAUAACCCUCUGAUGUUAAUAUGCUCUUAAACUCCUAGAAAUUCUUUUCACAAAUAUAUGACCACUAGUACUUAGCCGCCUUAUGCGUCAACUUUGUCAAUGGAGCAGCAAUAGAAGAGAAAUUCUCUAUAAAUCUCUGAUAAUAACCUGCCAAGCCCAAGAAACUACGCACCUCAGUAGGAGUUGUGGGCCUCGGCUAAUUCUUCAGUGCCUUGAUCUUUUGGCUAUCAACUUUGAUUCCCUAAUUUGAUACUAUAUGUCCAAGAAAGGCCAUCGAGUUCAACCAGAACUAGCAUUUAGAAAACAUAGCAAACAACUUACAAUCUUGGAGUAUCUGCAACACCACCCGCAAGUGAUUGGCAUGCUCCGCCAUUGAGCGAGAAUAUAUGAGAAUAUUAUAGAUAAACAUGAUUAUAAAGAUAUCGAGAAAUGGCUUGAGCACCCAAUUCAUCAAAUACAUAAAGGUUGGUGGUGCAUUAGUAAGACCGAAGGACAUAACAAGGAACUCAUAAUGACCAUAUCUGGUCCUGAAAGUAGUCUUCAAAAUAUCCUAUAUUUAACCCUUAACUGAUGGUAUUCAGACCUAAGAUUGAUCUUCGAGAAGUGUUUGGUGUCGUACAACUGAUCAAACAGGUCGUCAAUCCUGGAAAUCAGAUAUUUAUUCUUGAUACUUACCGUGUUCAGCUGACAGUAAUCAAUAUACAUCCUCUGCCAACCAUUCUUAUUAUGAAUGAAUAACACUGGUGCACCCAACGAAGAAGUACUGGGCCUGAUAAAGCCCUUUUUCUAAAAGAUUGUUCAACUGAGCUUUCAAUUCUCUCAAUUCAGUAGGGGCCAUUCUAUACGGAGGAAUAGAUAUAGGCUGGGUGUUAGGAAGCACACUGAUAGCAUAGUCAAUUUCCCUUUCGGGAGGAAUGCCUGGAAGUUUGUCAGUAAAUAUGUCAGGGAAUUCAUUAACAACAGGGACGGUCUAAAGAAUCAGAGGUUUUGCCUGCGCAUCCUGCACCCGAACCAAGUGAUAGAUAUACCCAUUCAAGAUCAUUUUUCGAGCCUUAAGGUAUGAAAUAAACUCCCCUUAUGCGCUAGAGAAUUACCUUUCCAACACCUAGAAAAUUAAAGGGGACAACUUUCGUCCAGCAAUCUACAUUGGCACAGCAAGAAGUCAACCAAUCCAUGCCCAUAAUAACGUCAAAAUCGACCAUCUCCAAUUCAUUUAGAUCGGCUAAAGUAUGAUGAUCAUAAAUCAUCAAAUCGUAACUCUAAUAUACUCGCCUAACAACUACAGAUUCACCCAUAGAAGUAGAUACUUCAAAUGACUUACGCAAUAAUUCAGGUUCUUUACUGCACUUGCUAGCAACCAAAGGAGUAAUAUACGAUAAAGUAGAACCUGGAUCAGUCAGGACAUACACAUCAAGGGAAAAGACAGAUAAUAUAUCUAUAACCAUAUCCGGAUAUGACUCUAGGUCCUAUUGGCCCGACGAAGCAUAAAUGUUGUUUUGAUGACCGCAUGAGUUAGACGUUCCACCCCUGCCUCUACCUCUACUAACCGAUGUCUACGUACCUUGCCUAGGAGGGUGUAUAGCUGAAGAUGAAGCAGAUACAGAUCGUGUUGAUUGUGCCAUACCAACCCCGCCUCUCAUCGGACAAAACCGCAUAAUAUGACCGGGCUUCCCAUACGAAUAACACAUAUCCAAAUCCUGACGGUAUUGCCGAGAAUGAGCUCUACCACACCAACAAAAGUAAGUCAACAGAGGUCUCAUCUUACUAGACUUGCCUCUGCAAUGCAUGCCUGACGUCUGUGAUCUUUGACUUGACCAGAAUAAGUGGUCCGAUCACGACACUGGCCCUAGAAUUUCCAUGGGGCACUAGCUGCCGAAUAAGAGGGUUCCUAGAGAACUGCGGCCUAAACCCACCUAUGAAGUCUCCUGUAUCAAUCGCGGAUCGUGCCCUUUUAUUCUGACCCCUAUUUCGCUCUCGAUCAACCUGAUGCUACCUCUUAUGAUCCUCCAAGUUCUUUGUGUAGGCCUGAAUACGAGCGACAUCUAUAUUCAGAUUCAAAGAGUCAUAGUACAUUCAUUAACCAAGUGUGGUCUCAAACCAUCCACGAAUCAGUAUACUCAGUCACUCAUCUCAGCCACAACUGUAGGAACAUACCUAGCCAAGGAGUUAAACUACAUGCUAUACUUCUUAACACUCAUAUUGACCAUACUUCAGAUGUAGAAAUCUGUCUUGCCUAGCUCGGCGAAGCUAAACAGAAAAAUACUACUACAAGAAUGCCUCUAAAAACUCUUUCCAUCCUACUAGUGGGGCACAUGGCCCGCUAGACUGCUCCCAGGUCUCAUACCAAGUGGAAGCAAUAUCCUACAACCUAUAUGAAGCAAACUCCACUAUGUGAGCAUCGGUGACAUGCAUAACUCGUAAGGUCUGCUGCAUUUGAUCCAGAAAAUUCUGCCGGUUUGCAUUUGAAUCUGUCCCUGUGAAUACCGGGGGGUCCAGGUUGAUGAAAUCUUGAACUCUCGCGUUGACUGCUCUAUCAGAAGUGCGAAGGGUCUGACGCUAGGCUUGAGAGGCCAAUAGUCGAGUCAAUAACUGAACAACACUUUGCAUAUCCAUAUCCUGCUCAGGAGCAACUGGGAGGCAUUGGGGGUAUAUCAACUCCACUAUGCCCUUCAGGUGGUGGUGCUACUCUGGUAGCCUGUGAGUUGGCCUAAUUAUGAGGCUCAUGUUGACCUACAUUGGUGGGUGGCAUCUGAAUGGUGUCCUCUCCCCCCUCCUCAUCCAAUCACCAAAUAGUUGUCUGUUGUCUAGUAGUAGGUAUCGCUGAAAUGUACACAAAAUGUAGAUUUGGAGUGAACACUUACGACUCAUCUCUAUCGCACGAUCUAGAUCAAGAAGAAAGGUAACCAUCCUAAAUGACUUGUAGCCUCAUGUUUAUUAAAUGUAGUGUACAACAUACUCAUAAAUAAGACUCUACUAGACAUGACUUGUAGACUCCCUAGGAGAGACCUACUUUGAUACCAAGUUUGUCACACCCUAGCCUUGGGGGGUGUGGCCGGCACUCGACACACUAAGGCCCGAGCGAACUAACUACUGUACUUGAAUACCGCAAUAUGCAACUUAGGUCUACAAGGCCUCCCAAUGACAAUGAUAAGGUAGAAAGCAACAUAACCUGCACGCAAAAAAGGCCCAACACAACAUAUAUGCAUAAGCUAAGGCCGACGAGGCCAUCACCAUUAUAUCAUUAACUAACAAGGGGCGACAAGACCGCACAAAACUUAUAUGCAACAACCUCUAGUCUGCAAACCUCUACAAGCAUUAAUAUGUGUCAAGUUGGGAUAGGGCCUUGGCACACCCAAAAUAGCUAUAUGCAUACUGAAUAGUGCCUACCGGCUCUAUACAGCAACUUCAGAGAAGGGAGUGCAACAACCAAUAGCUGAAAAUAGGUACCCUACUGAGGAGUUUUAUCGGUCUGUCUAUCUGUACCUACGGGCAUCAGCACAUCGCCCUAGAAGGGACGUUAGUACGAAAUAUGUACUGAAUAUGUAAGGCAAGUAAAUCAUGUAAAUAAGAGAUGUAAAACAAAAGGAAAAGCUAUCGAAUCAACUUGUAACUCAGAAAAGGUCGUUGAGGGCACACAACUAACAUAACCAUAAAUAUAUGCAUGUAAGUAAAAUCGGGUUGUUCUAUGGGGCCAUAUAGUAUCAUAUCAAGUCCCUCUAUGGGGUAAUUUCAUAAUAAACUGCCCAGCCAUAUAGAACGCGGUAAUAUCUGCCCAACUAAUCAGUGGUAUGCACAUAUAAGUGUCUGCUCGGCCGACUGUAGCACAUCGAGGUAAGAAAAUAGAUACAUGAUGCAUGAGACACAUUAAUUAACAAUACGGAGGCGUCCAGAGUGACGUAAGGUCGGUAGCCUCCAAAUGCAUUAUGAUACUAAUGCCAUCAACACGAGACUUGGCAGAUACAACAAUAUACAAUCAUAUAUUUCCCAUAAGCCUUUCAUGAUCUUGGGAAUAAUUCAUGGCAUCAAGAUGAAAAAUAUAUCAACUUGAUCAACAUGACAUGAAGGAAAGGGCAUAAACAUCUUUAGAACUUAAAAUAAAUUCACUUCUUUUAGGACAUUCGUUUUCACGCGCGUAAAGUUGGGAUCAUGCUAGAAAAGAGAGAAGAUGAAGAAGACUUAACAUACCUCUAUGAUAAUUCUCUUUCUUGCCACAACGAACCGCUCAUUAUACUUUAAUCUCGACCUAUAAUCAUAGACUAAUACUUCUAUCAUAAUUUGCCAAUCAUAAUUUUACAUAUCUAAGUGACGUAAUUUUUACGAUAAUUCGGGCAGCAUUUCCUCUGUAUUUAUUACAUUCUCCAAAUCCAUAGUGAUCAUAAUAUCAACAAUCCAACCUAAGUCAAGUUCAUAUACAUCCAUUUCCAACCAACAAUCCAUUACAUCGAAUGACAACCUUGGCUUAGAGUCCCAUAAGGUUAUUCUUUUAUUUUUUCCCUGUUCAUUAUCAACGACAAUGUUAAGAUAAUCAUAUUCCCAAAUAUCGAUCUAUAGCUACGACGCCUAUGCAACCCCUUUUAAACAAUUAUCAAGCUACAAUGCCAAUUAUCAAAACCUAGUCAUAAUUUCAUGAAUUCCUAAUCUUAUGCUCACAUUCAAGCCAAUUUUACCCAAUUGCAUGUAGAAGGGGAUGAGAUCUUACCUCAAUUUUCUCAUACAAUCCUCAAUCCUAGCCGGGUUUAGUUUUUCUCCACCUUAAUUCCAAGAAUAAAAAGUAAGACGACGAUCCUGCAACGUCCACGAACCUUUCGAUACCCCUUGGAUUUGAU
RNAcentral lists this long non-coding RNA (20287 nucleotides) under Nicotiana tabacum (common tobacco). RNAcentral describes it as "long non-coding RNA (NTAB_LNC010951)". The record is from RNAcentral. Lineage: Eukaryota; Viridiplantae; Streptophyta; Magnoliopsida; Solanales; Solanaceae.